AACCUAUGGGGAAAAUGUUUCCUCUCCCCGCUGAUGUGAACACAAGAUUACUAAACGUUUUAGAUGUUCCACUUUCCCCCAGCUUGAUGCCAGUUGACGUUGCAGCUUCCUCACCUUUCCGCUUGAAAAACGACAUGACGGGUUUACUCCGAGCGUUUCCUCAGCUCGCUGACACCAUCCCGUGAGUUGACAGCUCCCGUCAUUCAAAUUUAUCCGCAAU
Long non-coding RNA from Syngnathus acus (greater pipefish), 220 nucleotides. RefSeq lists it as uncharacterized. The record is from RefSeq and is a predicted model, not a curated record. The transcript has 2 exons. NCBI's taxonomy places the organism in Eukaryota, Metazoa, Chordata, Actinopteri, Syngnathiformes, Syngnathidae.